RNAcentral lists this ribosomal RNA (484 nucleotides) under uncultured bacterium. RNAcentral describes it as "partial 16S ribosomal RNA". It matches the Rfam family "Bacterial small subunit ribosomal RNA", at positions 30 to 507 of the family's 1533-position model. The record is from RNAcentral.
AUUGAACGCUGGCGGCAGGCCUAACACAUGCAAGUCGAGCGGAUGAAGAGAGCUUGCUCCUGGAUUCAGCGGCGGACGGGUGAGUAAUGCCUAGGAAUCUGCCUGGUAGUGGGGGAUAACGUCCGGAAACGGGCGCUAAUACCGCAUACGUCCUGAGGGAGAAAGUGGGGGAUCUUCGGACCUCACGCUAUCAGAUGAGCCUAGGUCGGAUUAGCUAGUUGGUGGGGUAAAGGCCUACCAAGGCGACGAUCCGUAACUGGUCUGAGAGGAUGAUCAGUCACACUGGAACUGAGACACGGUCCAGACUCCUACGGGAGGCAGCAGUGGGGAAUAUUGGACAAUGGGCGAAAGCCUGAUCCAGCCAUGCCGCGUGUGUGAAGAAGGUCUUCGGAUUGUAAAGCACUUUAAGUUGGGAGGAAGGGCAGUAAGUUAAUACCUUGCUGUUUUGACGUUACCAACAGAAUAAGCACCGGCCAACUUCGUG